Vicugna pacos (alpaca) is the source of this 3602-nucleotide non-coding RNA. Lineage: Eukaryota; Metazoa; Chordata; Mammalia; Artiodactyla; Camelidae. The record is from RefSeq and is a predicted model, not a curated record.
GUCCUUGCCUUUGGAGAAUAGCCUUGGUGUCCCAGCUCUGCAUAUGUGCCCUUGAGGGGGGUGGUGGAGGACCGAAAGCUGGUGGCCGUUGGGUCAUGGGGGUAAAUGAAACACCUGGUCCGUGGGGACCUGGCAGACUUUUCUAGCCUCGGAGGACAUCCGGGGUCUGCAGUGAUGCCAGCCGCCCGGCCACCUCUUUGUGUCCUCUAGUGAGAGUCCAGUUCCUAAACCAGAAGCCCGAGGAGGUUCUGACUGGGGAAAGGGGUUAAGCUGUUGCAUUUCAUUCUGUUCCUCGGAAACAAUGAGGUGGCCACUGCUACUGCACAUAUUUUUGAAACAGUCCCGUGGAAGGCUGUUUGCAGCCGGCAUCAUGGAAGACAAUAUCCAUCUCAGAGGGAGAGUUGCUUUGGGGGUUUUCCGACGACUGCAUACAGAACUUCCUUGUAUUUCGGAUUUAAACCAGGAGACCAGAAUGUUGACUCUAGGUCAGAUUUGCCAUGAAACAGAAUUCCAGGCCUAGAUAGAUCAUGUAAUGCUAUAAAAAUAGUUAUCAAGUGUUGAGAUCAGCGUCUUUGGGCUUCUCAGUUUCUGUAGUUGGCAUACUUUUAAAGAAUUUAUAGACUUUGGACUUUGAUUAAAUGCUAUUAAAACAUUUCCAAGCCCAACGCAUCUAGGAAUAAGAAAACUGCAUUUUAACUUCGUCUUUGCCAGUUAAGACCUGAACAAGCUGUUCCACCUCUGGUGGCCUUGGCUUCCUCCCUCAUGAAGUGGUUUAGAUGAACCAGAUAGUUUUAAAGCUUCAAGCUCACUCCUCACUGCCCCCUCCUCCCAGUAGUCUUUAUUUGAUCUACCAUAUUUAAGACUUGGCUAUAAAAGUGAUAGUUUGAUAUUAUGGCCUUUACCACCUUUGAAUCUGACUUUCCAGUUCCUCACUUUGCUUUUGGUCCUAUUUGAAGCCGUGUGUCAUAAGCCACUAACCCACCUGAAGGAACGUUUCCCCAGAUUUCUCCCUCCUCACUGACUUCAUCCUCAGUAGAUCAUCAGUAGCCGUCACUGUGUGACCUUCCUUCUCCCUGGCGUAGCUGCUCCCUGAAGCGUGCCGUGGAAGGGCAAAGCACAGUGAGAAACAGUCACCUGGCAGUCAGAUCCAUGCCUGAGUCCUGCUUUCCUCGAUGGUUUUUCCUGCUCAUCUCCAUCCUCACCAAGGGCACCAGCUUCCAUCAAUGACUUUAAUAUGAAUGAUGUUCCCAAACACAAGCUUAAAUAUUUCCAAGGGAGACGCCAUCGGUGCUUCGCAAAGGUUUAAACAAAUCAAUAGGAAGUGACAAGAUAAUUUUUCAAAAGCGAGAAGAACCAGUACUAUUUUGUUCUCCCCCUUUGAGGGUAUGAUUUUUUUUAAGUGAUUUAAUUCAGAUUGAAUGGUUUGUAGUCUGACACAUAAAUGAGGAAGAUGUUUGAGUGCAGCACUAAAUCUUUUGAGCUCUUAGUAAACUAAAAGCAAUUCCUGGAUCUAUAUUCUGAUUCUUGAAGGCUGCAAUCCACUUUUUGCGAAUUUCUCCCCCCUCCCCCCUUUCACUGCUAGUAGUUUAGUCUUCUAAACAGUUGCCAUCUUUGAAUCCUCCUUCAGGCAAGGAUUUUUCCAUGGAAUAGUAAAACUAGAAUGCAUCUUGGAGGAUCUAGUCCAGCCCCUACAUCUUAAAGAUUUGGGAAAGCACCAAAUGGUGGUUAAGAAUCAGUGCUCUGAAACUAGCUGACCUAUGUAUGGAGUUUGCCUCUGCAGCUUGAUGGCACUGUGACCUUGACGCCUCUAAGGAAAUUAUUUAGACAUAGAUUAUUUUAUAAUCGUGAAAAAGUAACAAUCAUAGUUGAGCGUUCUCUCCAGAUGAUCUCACCUUUGCUCAUUUCUUCCUCUCUGAAUUUAGGCAAUAGUGACUCUUCUCCUGAUCUGUGCUGAGCACUGGUGAUUGUUAAUGAAAUAAUCCGUAGUAAGUGUAGGGCACCUUGUGUGCUUCAGGGAUGAUUGUUGUUGAUAAACCAGGUGCCAAGAGUGAGUGAUUUUGCUGAGGACUACACAGCUCUCAACUGGCAGAGCUGUGCUUCAACUCCUGUCACUUCUCUUUCCCCUGAACUGCACUACCUAGAAGUGAUGGCAGCAUGGGGACAUAUUUUAAAUUAAAUGACAUAGUUAAGAAAAAAAAUUCCUUGCCUCUUUUGACUUAAAAAGAACAUGGUUUCUAAAGGAAAAUGUUCAUGUAUCCAAGCAGCGAUGUGAAUAGAAACAUUUUCUAGACAAAGACCCUCAGCAACUUAAGACUUGUGUGUGGCAGGCAUCUCAAAUAUUAACGUUUCAUCACAGCCUCCAUCAAUCUUGCUUUAUAAAAUGAAGGGCUGACCCCACGCCGUUUGAGGAUUCAGAGUCAUGGGCAUCUGUGCCAAGUAGAACUUACUGACUGCAGGGCCCGCUUUCAAGUAAUUAAGAGAUGACUGCAUGCUCUGCAUCAUAUUGCUUGUGCUGGUGAGAAGCAACAGAUGCUUUAGCGAAGGUGACCGAACUAUAGGCUGGUCAUCGAAGCAGGGGGGGCCUGGGUUUGCUGUAGAAUAACUGGGCCGCAGGUCACCCAGGUGCUGACGAACAGCUUCUCGUACACCCGAGGGAUCCCCACCCCAUUGGUGAGGAGUUGACUGUAGGUCUAGCACAAUUUUCAUGCUUGAGUCAUGUUUGAGUAUCUUUUGAAUCUGAAUACACGAGAUUAUCGAGAAAUGAUCCUCUGCUGAGAUACAAGCCAUGUGAAAAUUCCCAAACCUAAACAUCCCCUUUUGAUAAAUAUUAAUUAUAUUUGAGGGAAAGCAAAAGUGACCUGGAAGCAUGGAUCUGAAAAAAUCCAUAAUCUCUUCUGCCUUUCCCCUUCCCGUAUAAAUCCCGGAGGAAGGACAACUUGUAGAGUGUUAAUGUUAGGCUAAGUUUUAAAAAGAUUCCAGCUGCACCCCCUUGGUGUAACUAAACUGAUGUCUUUAAUUAAGAAAGCUGUUUGGGUAAGCUUUAAUGACCAGGGUGCUCAGAAACCACUUAUCACCAGCACUAGGAAGGUGAAACCAUUACAGCAUUGGCCAAAAGCUAGCAAGCCCUUCAAUGUGAGAAGAACAUUUUUUAAAAAAUAUCAAAGACAAAGUUGAAAUGGGUGUGAGUAUAAUCAUUGGUAAAACUUUAGAAUUCUCAUAAAAGAAAUCACUAAAUCAGUAAAUCAUCAUACCAUUAAACUGGCUCCAAUGUUUGAAGUGGUAAAUAGAUCUUACAGUUGUUCACUGUGUGUCUAGUUACAUUAAAUACUGACUUAAAUGACCCAAGUUUGAACAAAGAUGGAAGUGGGUGAUGAGAAUUUCUACACCAGGAGGUGGUAACCUUUUCCUGUAAAGAGCCAGAUAGGAAAUAUUUUACGUUUUGUGGUCCUUGUGUAUCUCUGUUGUGUAUUCUUUGAUUUGCAGAAGAGGGGAUUGUUUGUUUACAUAAAUCCUUUAAAAAGGUAAAAACUAAUCUUUGCUUGAAAAGAGGCUUUUCACUGGAAAUCAAAAUAAAUGUCAGUAAACCAAAAAAGAAAAAAAAA